RNA transcript from Myxocyprinus asiaticus (Chinese sucker), 4744 nucleotides. It is a transcript of the gene named major facilitator superfamily domain containing 1, with no coding region annotated. The transcript is spliced from 14 exons. The record is from RefSeq and is a predicted model, not a curated record. NCBI's taxonomy places the organism in Eukaryota, Metazoa, Chordata, Actinopteri, Cypriniformes, Catostomidae.
GUGUGUGUGUGUGUGUGUGUGUGUGUGUGUGUGAAGAUGGCAGAGAGACAGGAGAAUCAGAGUCUCCUCACUGAAGAUGAAGAUAAUCAGAACACAACAAACAUGAAUCCGUUGUGUGAUCCGAAUCAUCUGCUGCACCGGAUCGUCGUUCUCAUCUUCAUGUGUUUUCUGGGCUUCGGAAGUUAUUUCUGUUAUGAUAAUCCAGCUGCUCUUCAAACUCAAGUCAUACAGGAUAUGAAUCUGAACACAGCAUCGUUCAUGCAGCUGUACGCCUGGUACUCGUGGCCUAAUGUUGUUCUGUGUUUUCUGGGCGGCUUUCUGUUGGACCGGGUGUUUGGCAUCAGGUUGGGGACAAUAAUCUUUGCACUGUUUGUGUUGCUAGGACAGAUCAUAUUUGCUGCUGGCGCUCUAGCGAAUCAUUUCUGGCUGAUGGAAGUGGGGCGUUUUGUGUUCGGUAUCGGUGGCGAGUCGCUGGCCGUCGCUCAGAACACAUAUGCUGUUAACUGGUUUAAAGGAAAAGAACUGAACCUAGUGUUCGGUCUGCAGCUCAGCAUGGCCAGACUGGGCAGUACAGUGAACAUGAACAUCAUCGGGUGGGUGUACGGCCGCAUUCAGACUAUGACAGGCUCCGCUGGACACUCGACUCUGGGAAUAACACUCAUGAUCGCGGGGUGCACAUGUCUCUUCUCUCUCAUCUGCGCUCUGGUUCUGGGGUUUCUGGACAAACGGGCUGAGAGGAUACUCAACAAAGAGCAGGGCAAGACCGGUGAAGUGAUCAAGCUGACUGAUGUGAAGGAUUUUCCCAUCUCUCUGUGGCUCAUCUUCAUCAUCUGUGUGGGAUAUUACGUGGCUAUAUUUCCCUUUAUCGGACUGGGACAAGUUUUCUUCAUAGAGAAGUUCACUUUCACUCCUGUCCAGGCCAGAGCUAUUAACAGUGUUGUGUACAUUAUCUCAGCUCCUGCAUCGCCUCUGUUGGGGUUUCUGGUCGAUAAGACGGGCAGGAACAUCAUGUGGGUUCUACUGGCUGUCUUUACAACACUCAUCUCUCACAUGAUGCUGGCGUUUACUCUCUGGAACCCCUGGAUUGCCAUGUCUUUCUUAGGUCUGUCAUACUCUCUGUUGGCUUGUGCUCUCUGGCCGAUGGUGGCGUUUGUUGUAGCAGAACAUCAGUUGGGUACUGCAUAUGGAUUGACCAGAGCUGGGAGGGUUCGGACGAGUUGAUGCGCCGCCGGACCCGCUCCUCGGACCCCCCCGGAUGGAUUAGGUGAGUUGCUGGGGAGAACGGCACACGUCGCGGCCGACGGGAUAGAGGAUGGGCCGCCUUCCCCUCUCACCUGCCGUGGGCCUGGGAAAUUAGGCCGCCAAGGACGCCACCACCCCUCACGCCAUGGACCCUGGAGGGGAGCGUGUGUGGCCAACGAACCCAGCUCAUGCCUGGGCCAUACCAAAGACACUACCCCGCACUUCACUGAGCCCCGUCUCACCGCGAGGAUGCCAGAUUCCACCUUUGUUAUGAAAACUAUUCCCCCUGGACACUUUAUUUUCCCCUUUUGUGGACAUUUUACUUUUAUUAUUAUUUCCAAUAAAUGCCUUUCCGAGGCCUGACACCACACCCACUGUGUCUGCCACUUGCUCACCCCGCCACAACAGGCAGAAAGCAUAUCAAAGUCUUCUUAUUGGCUAAUCAAAGAAUGGGUCCAUAGCCUGCGUCCACCUUUUUGUUUGUUGUUUACAGAGCCUAGAGCUGUCACAGAGACCAGUGAGAUAUCUCACUAUAUUUAUUUGAUUAAUAUCUUGCAUUUUUUGCAUACAUUUUCAUUAAAAAAUCGCUUACAGCACCUUUAAGUGUUCCCUUUCAUUAUGGUCACUUUGGUGCUGGGUAAGUAGCUGACACUAUGGGAACACAGACCGCCUAGGCAAAGGCAGCCUGUGGCCCCUGUGGCACCCUUGAAGUCAAUUGUGGAGCUACCAGUCAGGCCGCAAUGUCAGUGGCCACGCAAGACAACUGACCACUUGCUUGUCUGUUCCUUGCCACCGAACAGUCUGCUUAGGUUCAGUCAAGGCUUCUCCUGUAAAGGAGGUGGUUGUUGGUGUGCCGUUCAUUCUCCUUGCCAUAGCACAUUAUUUAUCUGCACCACAAAGUGUCAUGAAUCCCUGUUCCACAGAGUGUCAGGUGUCCACUGUUUCCUCCUCCACUGUUCCAGUGCAGGACGCACUGGUUUUAGUGCAAGAAGUCCAGUCACUCCUCCACAAGGAAGCAAUAGAGAUUAUUUCUCAUCAGCGAGUGCUGUGCGACUUCUACAGCCUCUGUUUUCUGCUUUGGAAGAGAAUGGCAGCAAGUGUCCAAUCCUAGACCUGAGGAGUUUCAAUUGGACUAUGAGAAAAUUUCCCUUUAAAAUGGACACUCAAAAGCAUAUUCUGUCACAAAUAAGUCCCAGAGACUGGUUUGUGUCUGUGGACCUAAAGGAUGCAUAUUUCCAUGAUCAAAUAGCCCCUCAUCACAGGCAGUUCCUCAGGUUUGCCUUCGAGGGGGUUGCGUAUAAUUUCCAGGUGUUAACCUUUGGUCUGUCCUUAGAGCCUUGCAUGUUCACAAAGUGCAUAGAAGCAGUGCUCGCUUCUUUGAGGUUGAGCAGCAUUAGAGUCCUGAGUUAUCUAUAGAAUUGGCUGAUUUUGGCUCCCAGUUUAUGAGCUCUGGGUCACAAAUAUGGCUUCCCUCCUGUGAAGAUGCUGCAACAAGUGCUGUGCAAAGUAUGGAAGCAUCUGAGUUAGUUGCAUCUCUUUGGCCCAACUAGAUUUGGUUCCUGGACCUAAAUGUGAACUCCCCAUUGGGAGAUUCCGCUCAGAGUAGACUUGCUCUCAAGUUCGCGGGACAAUCUGGCAUCCGCAGCAAGAGAUGCUUGUCCCCUGAAGGCUCCUGUUAGAGGGCCAAGGGUAAUUGAUGCUGUGUUUGACACCAUUUUGCAUUCCAGAGCCCCCACAAUGAGUUGGGUCUAUGCUUUAUAGUGGUGACUGUUUGCCUCAUGGUGUGCCUCCAGUGGUAUUAACUCGGCCAUCUGCUCUGUGCACUCUGUCUUGUGCUUCCUUUGGGAGCAUUAAGAUGCUGAAGUUUCCCUCCCCAUGAACAAAGUGUGUGUGACAGCUAUACUGGGUCAUACUUCGGUGGCUGGUUUGUCUAUUGGCAAGCAUCCGUUGGAGACCAGAUUCAUGAAAGGGGCGAGUAGACUCGUUCCGUCUUGCCAGUCACACAUCCCUGUUUGGGAUGUGUCGGUACUGCUAGAGCUCCACCAUUUGAGUCUCUGGAGUCUGUUUGUUUACACACACUCUCUGUUAAGAUUGAGGUACCGUUGUCACUCACUUUGCUAAAGCAUAUUUGUGACUUGCCUGCCCUUUUUGUAAAUGGCCCAUAUCUGGAAUUUUCCCCCGGUUUUCCCAUAUCAUACUUCAACUGCGGGUCAGUUAUAUGCCCUAAGUGCCUUCCAACCUUUUUUUGGUCGCAGGUGUACCUUUGCAGGCCUUUUGCUCUCUACAUUUCAGUCUGCCUAGGAUUAGUGCCUGCACAGGUUGUGCCCGGUCAGAGCGCUGCAAAUAUAUAUUGAUUGUUCGCAAGAUUGGCAUAAAUUGAACCGGCUAUUUGUCUCUUUUGGUGAAUGCUCGAUUGGUUUGGCAAUUAACAUUCACUUGUGGUUCAUUACCAUACCUGGCAGCAAGUAGCAGUAUGGCACUGUGCGAGACAGUCCCCAUAGAGUCAGAUACUGACGGAGCUUCAACUGAACAUCUGGGUUAUUUACAUAACCUCAGUUUCCUGAAUAAGGGAGUCAGAUGCUGCAUCGCUGAGACACAUCACUGGGUGUCUAGCUGCCAGGAAUGUAUUCUUCUCCCUUUAGCUGAAAAUCUAUCAAAAUGGCGUUGAGCUCUAGUUAUAAAUACUGUGGCGAGCGCACUUGAGGGGGUGGAGCUUGAGUGACAUCUGCCAAUGAAUUGGCAUAAUUCUGUACUGGCUUCAGUAAUCAUUAUACCUCAUGGUGUUCCCAUGGAGUCAGCUACUGACACAGCAUCUCGCAAGCAAUAGACCUUUUUCACAGACUGUAAUUACGCGUUUCUGCAUUAUUUAGCAGCGUAAAUCUAGCAAACUUUUUUUAUAUGAUAAUUUAAAAUAUUGAGUGUAAGUUUAUAACAUUAGUAUUUGUGUUAUAUUUCCCUGGAAUUAGUUAAAAAAAAAAAAUUACCACAGAGAGGGGGUUCCGAUUACAGCUGCUGAGAGAGUGACAGUAAAUUUGGCAUCUUCUCCCAUUUUACUGUCUUAAUCCACCGCUCUCUAUUUUUUACCUUUUCUGGAAAGUUAUUCAGAUGUAAAAGUGGAUUUUUUAUUUGGUCUUUGGAAAUAAUAUUUGCUGUGAUCUCCCAUUCACUCCCAUUCAACGCUGUCGAAGUUUACCCUGCAAACGUUUACCUCCACGUUCCAAAACCCGGAGUGUGAAAAGGGUCUAUGAUGUUUUCCUUUGAAAAACUAUGUUCUUGAUAAAAGUAAAUACUGUGGUCCAACAGAGUGUGGUUACAGGUGAAUUACUGAUUAUGACUCUCUUGUGUUGUGUGUAGUAUGCAGUCCAUACAGAACUUGGGUCUGGCCCUCAUCUCCAUGGCAGCAGGAUCAAUCUUAGACAGCAAGGGUUACCUGUUCCUGGAGGUGUUCUUCAUUGCCUGCAUUUGCUUGGCUCUGAUAGCUGUUGUGUUACUGUAUCUGUAU